RNAcentral lists this ribosomal RNA (253 nucleotides) under uncultured bacterium. RNAcentral's name for it is "partial 16S ribosomal RNA". It matches the Rfam family "Bacterial small subunit ribosomal RNA", at positions 524 to 776 of the family's 1533-position model. The record is from RNAcentral.
UACAGAGGGUGCAAGCGUUAAUCGGAAUUACUGGGCGUAAAGCGCGCGUAGGCGGCUUGACAAGUCGAGUGUGAAAUCCCCGGGCUUAACCUGGGAGCUGCAUUCGAAACUGUCUUGCUAGAGUAUGGGAGAGGGAGGUGGAAUUUCAGGUGUAGCGGUGAAAUGCGUAGAUAUCUGAAGGAACAUCAGUGGCGAAAGCGACCUCCUGGACCAAUACUGACGCUCAGGUGCGAAAGCGUGGGGAGCGAACAGG